This 289-nucleotide ribosomal RNA is filed under the name uncultured Planctomycetales bacterium. Its description in RNAcentral is "partial 16S ribosomal RNA". Lineage: Bacteria; Pseudomonadati; Planctomycetota; Planctomycetia; Planctomycetales. The record is from RNAcentral.
CUACACGGGUAUCUAAUCCCGUUUGCUCCCCUGGCUUUCGCGCCUCAGCGUCAGUGGAGGGCCAGCGGACCGCUUUCGCCACCGGCGUUCCUUUCGAUAUCAACGCAUUUCACCGCUCCACCGGAAGUUCCGUCCGCCCCUACCUCCCUCGAGCCGCGCAGUAUCGGAGGCCCUUUUCCGGUUGGGCCGAAAGAUUUCACCCCCGACUUGCGCGGCCGCCUACGCGCCCUUUAAGCCCAGUGAUUCCGAACAACGUUCGCACGGUUCGUCUUACCGCGGCUGCUGGCAC